Molecule: ribosomal RNA, 490 nt
Filed under: Psammacoma candida
Lineage: Eukaryota; Metazoa; Mollusca; Bivalvia; Cardiida; Tellinidae
Description: Macoma candida partial 16S ribosomal RNA
Rfam family: Bacterial large subunit ribosomal RNA
Source: RNAcentral
CAAAAACAUGGCUUCUUGGGGUAAGCAUAAAAGAGGUCUGGCCUGCCCGGUGGAUGAAAAUCUUAACGGUCGCAGCUACUACUGUGCGAAGGUAGCGUAAUUGGUCGUCCUUUAAUUGGGGGAGAGUAUGAAUGGUCGGAUGUUGGAAAAGCUUUAUUUGGAAUGAGGGCUGAAGUUUACUUCUUAGUGCAAAGGCUAGGAUGGGUAUAUUAGACGAGAAGACCCUGUUGAGCUUGGUAGGGUCGAUUGGUAAUUCGGUUGAAGGUAUGUUUUUUCGGGGCUGAAAGGAAGGGAUAUAAUGCCUUCUAGAAUAAAGUAUUGAUCCAGUAAGAUUGAAAAGAAGAAGAUAGCUACCACAGGGAUAACAGCGCAAUCUCCUUGAUAAGGCCAUAUUUUAUGGGAGGUUUGCGACCUCGAUGUUGAAUCAAGAUUCCUAUCAGGUGUAGCAGCUUGGUAAGUAGGACUGUUCGCCCUUUGAAAUUUUACGCGA